This 326-nucleotide unclassified non-coding RNA is filed under the name Hevea brasiliensis (rubber tree). The record is from RNAcentral. Lineage: Eukaryota; Viridiplantae; Streptophyta; Magnoliopsida; Malpighiales; Euphorbiaceae.
CAACAUGGUUUAAAGGCUACAUUUUAUGGGCAUGAGAAACCUAUAAAAUUGAUGUCGGUUGCAGAGCACAGAGCUUCACUUUUGGUAACCAUCUCAAAAGAUUCCAAGGUUAGGGUUUGGGAUACAACUACAUCUUCUGCUAUUCGUUCUUCAUGCUGUGUGGGAAUGACUACUCUGCCUGGCACACCUGUGGAUAUGAAAUGCCAUGAAUCUUUGCUUUAUUUUGCUGCUGGUUCCUCUGUUGGGGCUGUGGAUUUGAGAACAAUGCAGAAAGUCAUCACUGCAGCUAUUUAUCAACCUAAAUUAUAUUCAUUUGCAAUUGCCCC